GUGAGGAUAAGAUAAGAGGAUGGGAGGGAGAAGUAACAAAAGUGAAAAAUAAUUUCAAAUAGAUUUCAAUUUUUAAAUUUUGUUUUCACUUUUGUUACUUCUCUCUCUCAUCACUCCUCUCUCCCAUCUCUCA
This 133-nucleotide microRNA precursor is filed under the name Prunus dulcis (almond). Its description in RNAcentral is "sRNA ncRNA". The record is from RNAcentral. Lineage: Eukaryota; Viridiplantae; Streptophyta; Magnoliopsida; Rosales; Rosaceae.